Molecule: microRNA, 22 nt
Filed under: Danio rerio (zebrafish)
Lineage: Eukaryota; Metazoa; Chordata; Actinopteri; Cypriniformes; Danionidae
Description: Dre-Mir-26-P4_3p* (star (passenger))
Source: RNAcentral
CCUAUUCUUGGUUACUUGUUUC